AUUUCUUGGGCAGUACAUCCUAAAAUUGAUCCUGAGAAGAUUGGAAUGAUCCUUGCAUAAGGAAGACACACAAGUUCAUCAGUUAUGCUAUAGUUUU
RNAcentral lists this small nuclear RNA (97 nucleotides) under Notamacropus eugenii (tammar wallaby). The record is from RNAcentral. Lineage: Eukaryota; Metazoa; Chordata; Mammalia; Diprotodontia; Macropodidae.